GAUGAAGAACGUAGCGAACUGCGAUAAGUAAUGUGAAUUGCAGAAUUCAGUGAAUCAUCGAAUCUUUGAACGCACAUUGCGCCCGCUAGUAUUCUGGCGGGCAUGCCUGUCCGAGCGUCAUUUCAACCCUCAAGCCCCCGGGCUUGGUGUUGGGGAUCGGCGAGCCUCCGCGCCCGCCGUCCCCUAAAUCUAGUGGCGGUCUCGCUGUAGCUUCCUCUGCGUAGUAGCACACCUCGCACUGGGAAACAGCGCGGCCACGCCGUUAAACCCCCAACUUCUGAACGUUUGACCUCGGAUCAGGUAGGAAUACCCGCUGAACUUAAGCAUAUCAAUAAGCGGAGGA
Molecule: unclassified non-coding RNA, 343 nt
Filed under: soil metagenome
Description: partial contains 5.8S ribosomal RNA, internal transcribed spacer 2, and large subunit ribosomal RNA
Rfam family: 5.8S ribosomal RNA (bases 1-120)
Source: RNAcentral